AUUGAACGCUGGCGGCAGGCCUAACACAUGCAAGUCGAGCGAGCGGCGGACGGGUGAGUAAUGUCUGGGGACUGCCCGAUAGAGGGGGAUAACUACUGGAAACGGUGGCUAAUACCGCAUACUAUCGGAUAACCCAUAUGGGAUUAGCUAGUAGGUGGGGUAAAGGCUCACCUAGGCGACGAUCCCUAGCUGGUCUGAGAGGAUGAUCAGCCACACUGUGACUGAGACACGGCCCAGACUCCUACGGAGGAAGCAGUGGGGAAUAUUGGACAAUGGGCGCAAGCCGGAUGCAGCCAUGCCGGUUGUAUGAAGAAGGCCUUAGUGUUGUAAAGUACUGUCAGCGGGGAGGCGUUACCCGCAGAAGAAGCACCGGCUAACUCCGUGCCAGCCGCCGCGGUAAUUC
Molecule: ribosomal RNA, 403 nt
Filed under: uncultured bacterium
Lineage: Bacteria
Description: partial 16S ribosomal RNA
Rfam family: Bacterial small subunit ribosomal RNA
Source: RNAcentral